CCCCGAACGGUGGAUCACUCGGCUCGCGGAU
RNAcentral lists this ribosomal RNA (31 nucleotides) under Bemisia tabaci. Its description in RNAcentral is "partial 5.8S ribosomal RNA". The record is from RNAcentral. Lineage: Eukaryota; Metazoa; Arthropoda; Insecta; Hemiptera; Aleyrodidae.